RNAcentral lists this long non-coding RNA (1110 nucleotides) under Carassius auratus (goldfish). Its description in RNAcentral is "lncRNA (ENSCARG00000021944.1)". The record is from RNAcentral. Lineage: Eukaryota; Metazoa; Chordata; Actinopteri; Cypriniformes; Cyprinidae.
GGAAUAUGCGGUCAGCAUUGACGAAGUCAAGAUGGACCAGGGGAAGGUCAAGGUGAUCCUAGAUUGGCCACUACCCCAAACAGUCAGAGCACUCCAACGCUUCCUAGGCUUCGCCAACUUCUCAUAAUGGAUGACUAUAACUGUGUUGAUUCAGAAUCAUCCACAUUUAAAUCAUGAUGCAUCAUAGAAAUUAUACAUUAUGACACCCUAACCAUAAAGGGAUAAAACACAUUAUUCUAAACGAGCAUGCCUAAUUUACAUGAUGAUUUUAACAACAGGUGGUGCUAUAACUAUUUAAAAUAUUUGAAAGCCAAAGAUUUUUAUUUUAUUUUAAAUAACCCCAGUGUAGAGAAAAUGUCUAUGUAUUACUGUAACAAGGUUCAAUGAUCAAAGAGGAAGGAGACCGGGAUCGGCGUUCUGAGGCUCGUGGGUAUUUAUUGAAUAAUUUAAAAAGAAACAGAAAAUAAAGUCGCGCCACAUGCGCACACGUUUAACGUCUUUUCACUCUAUGUGACUGCUGUCUGCUUUGAGGCUUCACCAGCUCGCCUCCGCUCGGAUUCCCCACGAGUCCUCAGCUCUCUCGCUCUUCUCGGGAUGUCGUGCGGCUUAAAUACCGGUUCCCCACGCCAAUCACUGCAAUGAGACCCAGCUGUUAAUCGUUUCUCACCUGAACCACUUACCACCGCUCGUCUCUUCAUUUGCUCUCCCAUUGCAGACUUCGCUAAACCACGCCUCCGCCGCCACAAUUACAUUGUUUCACUUAUAUAUCAAAAUUCAAAUGUGAUAGGUCUCCUCACUCUGAAAAACUUUGCCUAAAGAAACACUUCUCUCAAUCAAAUCAUUCAAUCCUUGGUUUUUCUGUUGAAGAUGGUAAUAUUUAUGUCUUUGUCUUUUAGAGAAAGUUAUGAGUUUGUAUGAACAGUUUCUGAGGGGACCAUGUCCCACCCCAAAACGAUGUCAAAAUGCACGGCAGCGGGUGGAGACGGUGAGACAAUUUAUGAACAAAGCUUUUAAAGGGAGUCCCACUGGAAAAUGGGACUCCAUUUUAAAGGAAGAUGUUUUCUUUGGCUAUAUCAAAACACUAAAAGAACAGCACAAUUAUCGGCCAAC